AGGCUGGGCUGCAGUGGCCUCAGCAUCCCUCGGCCCUGCCUUCCCUGCUCCUGUGAGCGGCAGGCCUGGGAAGGAAGAGUUAACCAGAAAUGGAGCGGCGCCGCUCCGGGGCAGGCAGCCUCGCUGCAGAACAGAGCAGCGUUCGUGAGAAGGCAAGUCAUUUCCCGAAACACCGCAGACACACGGCCUCGGGCAGCCUAAAACCUUUGGAGACCAAAAUGGCUCGCAGGGGUUGGAAGUAAUAAGUAUCCUUUGAGUACUGACCUUGUUGGGCUCUGAGGGCUGCUUCUAACCCCUUCCAACUGAGGAGAUUAUGAGCUCAACUCUUGGAAGCCAUGAGAGACAGAGGGAUCCCCAAAGGUCCCAGAUGUAAGUCCCUUGUGUCACUCCUUCUGUGCUGCCUUGGAUAUGAACUUCCUCAUAUGCUGAGAGUUUUAACAUGGCUUUGCUUAGGAAUCCGGCCCAGAUCAAGUGGAUGACAGCAUCUCCCCACGUGACUGGACGAAUGGCUUCAUGUCACCACUGCAUGCCUCAGAGCUGAGACUGUGAUUGUCAGAAAGGAAGGAGACGGAGCCACUUAAAAGUCAAACCCACUCAUGAACUUACUCAAGCCCCACCCUAUGCUCCUGGCUGCUGGCAGGUGCAGGGGGUCAUCCAUAGGUGUUACCCGCACAUCCCUUUCUCCGUGACAUUCUACCUCCAUACCGGAGCACAGGUAGGUGGGCACUGGCUUCAGGGAGGUCCCCGAAAGGUGGUCAGGUUAUCCCUGAGGCCAGAGCCCUUCUCUGCCAUAUCUCUGGGACUGAGACUCUGGGGUCUGGGACUCAGGACCUGAACUUUCCUUUUAGACUCUGUCCUGGGGAUGCAC
Long non-coding RNA from Fukomys damarensis (Damara mole-rat), 868 nucleotides. RefSeq lists it as uncharacterized. The transcript has 3 exons. NCBI's taxonomy places the organism in Eukaryota, Metazoa, Chordata, Mammalia, Rodentia, Bathyergidae. The record is from RefSeq and is a predicted model, not a curated record.